AGGAGUAGACAAAAUUGUAACUCAAAAAUAUACAGCUUGCAUGUAAAUAUAACCAUUGUUGUAUUACAAAAGUCACAGUGAAACUUUGCAGAACAUGGAAUAUGCAAAUAAUAGAAAGCAGAGUGGCUCUCCAAAGUUCUCCAGCAACCUGUUGACUAGAAGACAUUUCUGAUUUUCUUACAAUAAAACAGUCCUCAAAGUGAAAAGAAA
Molecule: long non-coding RNA, 210 nt
Organism: Pseudopipra pipra
Lineage: Eukaryota; Metazoa; Chordata; Aves; Passeriformes; Pipridae
Exons: 2
Source: RefSeq, a predicted model, not a curated record